UUUUUGCGCAAGGGAUUGCAGUGAAAAUCCCGGAUUGCGACUUGAGGAGCAAACGGAAUUGUAACGAAAAGCCUGACCCCAU
This 82-nucleotide non-coding RNA is filed under the name Leeuwenhoekiella marinoflava. Lineage: Bacteria; Pseudomonadati; Bacteroidota; Flavobacteriia; Flavobacteriales; Flavobacteriaceae. RNAcentral also lists the same sequence under 1 other name. The record is from RNAcentral.